RNAcentral lists this ribosomal RNA (952 nucleotides) under Lactobacillus sp. OR 9. RNAcentral's name for it is "bacterial SSU rRNA". It matches the Rfam family "Bacterial small subunit ribosomal RNA", at positions 544 to 1493 of the family's 1533-position model. The record is from RNAcentral. Lineage: Bacteria; Bacillati; Bacillota; Bacilli; Lactobacillales; Lactobacillaceae.
UCCGGAUUUAUUGGGCGUAAAGCGAGCGCAGGCGGAAGAAUAAGUCUGAUGUGAAAGCCCUCGGCUUAACCGAGGAACUGCAUCGGAAACUGUUUUUUUUGAGUGCAGAAGAGGGAGAGUGGAACUCCAUGUGUAGCGGUGGAAAUGCGUAGAUAUAUGGGAAGAACACCAGUGGCGAAGGCGGCUCUCUGGUCUGCAACUGACGUGAGGCUCGAAAGCAUGGGUCUCGAACAGGAUUAGAUACCCUGGUAGUCCAUGCCGUAAACGAUGAGUGCUAAGUGUUGGGAGGUUUCCGCCUCUCAGUGCUGCAGCUAACGCAUUAAGCACUCCGCCUGGGGAGUACGACCGCAAGGUUGAAACUCAAAGGAAUUGACGGGGGCCCGCACAAGCGGUGGAGCAUGUGGUUUAAUUCGAAGCAACGCGAAGAACCUUACCAGGUCUUGACAUCUAGUGCCAUUUGUAGAGAUACAAAGUUCCCUUCGGGGACGCUAAGACAGGUGGUGCAUGGCUGUCGUCAGCUCGUGUCGUGAGAUGUUGGGUUAAGUCCCGCAACGAGCGCAACCCUUGUUAUUAGUUGCCAGCAUUAAGUUGGGCACUCUAAUGAGACUGCCGGUGACAAACCGGAGGAAGGUGGGGAUGACGUCAAGUCAUCAUGCCCCUUAUGACCUGGGCUACACACGUGCUACAAUGGGCAGUACAACGAGAAGCGAGCCUGCGAAGGCAAGCGAAUCUCUGAAAGCUGUUCUCAGUUCGGACUGCAGUCUGCAACUCGACUGCACGAAGCUGGAAUCGCUAGUAAUCGCGGAUCAGCACGCCGCGGUGAAUACGUUCCCGGGCCUUGUACACACCGCCCGUCACACCAUGGGAGUCUGCAAUGCCCAAAGCCGGUGGCCUAACCUUCGGGAAGGAGCCGUCUAAGGCAGGGCAGAUGACUGGGGUGAAGUCGUAAACC